Long non-coding RNA from Gadus macrocephalus (Pacific cod), 519 nucleotides. RefSeq lists it as uncharacterized. The transcript is spliced from 2 exons. Lineage: Eukaryota; Metazoa; Chordata; Actinopteri; Gadiformes; Gadidae. The record is from RefSeq and is a predicted model, not a curated record.
GACGAGGAGGAGGAGGACGACGACGAGGAGGACGAGGAAGAGGGGAAUGAGGAGAACGAGGAGGAAGAGGAAGACAAGAAGGUGCUCAAAGAGGACCGAAUCUGACAAAUGAGAUCCGCGCAACACUGGUUGACCACGUUGUCAACCACGGCCUGACGCUGAGGGAGGCUAAAAAAGAAACAUAUUCAAAUGAAGCAAAUUUAUCGAGUGCCUUUCGAGCGCAAUUCCGAAAGGGUAAAACGACUGCGGCAUGAUUAUGCAGAGAGUUUUACGAAUGGAUGGAGAGGAGAUCCAGCAUGAGUUCAUUUACGUAGAUGAGGCUGGGUUCAACCUGACGAGAACACGAAGGAGGGGAAGAAACAUCAUUGGCCACAGGGCUAUAGUCAAUGUCCCAGGGCAACGUGGGGGUAAUAUAACACUCUGUGCAGCCAUUACACAGAAUGGGGUCCUCCACCGCCAUGCCCAUAUGGGCGCUUACAACACAGCACUCAUGCUUACAUUCUUGGACCAAUUGCGCAA